Peromyscus californicus insignis is the source of this 1212-nucleotide long non-coding RNA. RefSeq lists it as uncharacterized. The record is from RefSeq and is a predicted model, not a curated record. NCBI's taxonomy places the organism in Eukaryota, Metazoa, Chordata, Mammalia, Rodentia, Cricetidae. The transcript has 3 exons.
CUUCCUGACAGCGCCUCCGUAUUGUUCCCUGGGCCAGAGGCAGCGGCAGGCAGCGAGGGGGCCUCUGUCAUGUUUGGGCCACAGCCAGCAGCAGUCCACCUUCUCUCCUGUAAGCACCUUCCUUUUCCAUCUGGGGAGGGAAGCUGAGAUGGCCCAUCAGCUUGACAGGCAGCCUUGUCCCUGGUCCCUGGGGGCUGCCUCGUGAUUCGUGCCAGCCAUUGCCGGACGAAUACCUGUUGCAGGAAGCACACUGCUGACACUUGACGAUGCUCCCAGAGCUAAGGAGGAAUGGCAGUUUCUGCAAGAGGAGGGAGAAGCCACCCCCACCGCACACUUUGCAGCCAGGGACCGUGAACUGAAGCAACUCCAUUUUCUGUGGUGGACAGAGGUUAACCCAGGAUCUGGAGGAAAGCAAGCUGAGUUUGAACGUGAGCCAGUGUGUGACUGUAGCUAACGUGUAUCUCACAUGGAAGAGAUUGGGGCUGUCCUCAUUUACUGUCUCACAGUGCCUGUGGCUAAGGAAUUCAGAAGUGACAGAGCUGGAGCAGAAUCUCUCCUGAUCAUGUGCUCUGGGUAUUGGAUGGUGGUGAAUUUUCAAGGCUCCACUGAUGCUGUACCUACUCUGAAGAUAGAAAACUGAUGUGAGUGUUGGCAAGAUGCCUUACUCCUAAGACACCUGCAUCUCCACAGGCUGCUCGAGUGUCCUCAUGACACAGUAUCCAGAAGUGAGCAGGCGGGAGGCUGUGGUCGUCUCAGGACCUACUGUCCACAGUCACCAACCAUGACUUCCACGUUAGUAUCUUUGUUAAGAUGAGUCAAUAUGUCUGAGGGGAAGAAGACUGAAUGGAAGAGCACAAAAGACGUGUGACUAUUUCAAAACCAUCACAAUCAAUAGAUACAAAAUAAAAUCACAGUCUCCCAGAGGUGCCCAAGCAUUGUUAGACCACAGUAUUCAUAGAACUUAAUCUAAAUCAGGAGUUGAGGAGGUGGCCCAGGUGCCUCAAACUCAGCUCCUCAUAUGUAGUUGUGGAAAUUAUUUUAACCAGGCAGAGAUGUGUCACAUUUGUUUAUCCUGCAAAAUAUCACUUUAACUGUGUAAAGGUGUGUUAUGCAGUAUUUAUUUAACAAUGUAAGGGUGUAUUUUUAAUUAUGUAAAGAUAUGUUGCAUCUGUUUCACCUUGCCUGCUUAAGGCACCUGAUUGGUCUAAUAAA